RNAcentral lists this ribosomal RNA (130 nucleotides) under Pseudomonas aeruginosa. RNAcentral describes it as "partial 16S ribosomal RNA". It matches the Rfam family "Bacterial small subunit ribosomal RNA", at positions 1 to 120 of the family's 1533-position model. The record is from RNAcentral. Lineage: Bacteria; Pseudomonadati; Pseudomonadota; Gammaproteobacteria; Pseudomonadales; Pseudomonadaceae.
AGCAGUAUUGAACUGAAGAGUUUGAUCAUGGCUCAGAUUGAACGCUGGCGGCAGGCCUAACACAUGCAAGUCGAGCGGAUGAAGGGAGCUUGCUCCUGGAUUCAGCGGCGGACGGGUGAGUAAUGCCUAG